RNAcentral lists this non-coding RNA (30 nucleotides) under Rattus norvegicus (Norway rat). The record is from RNAcentral. Lineage: Eukaryota; Metazoa; Chordata; Mammalia; Rodentia; Muridae.
UGGUAUGUUAAGUGCGCAAUGGUCUCCCUU